RNAcentral lists this ribosomal RNA (98 nucleotides) under Melanotaenia splendida tatei (desert rainbowfish). Its description in RNAcentral is "partial 16S ribosomal RNA". The record is from RNAcentral. Lineage: Eukaryota; Metazoa; Chordata; Actinopteri; Atheriniformes; Melanotaeniidae.
CGCCCACUAGCUAGCUCACCCAACAUCAUAACAUUUAUAUAUAAAUAUACACACAUCAACAAAUAAACAAACAAAUCAUUUUUCCACUUUAGUAUAGG